This is a long non-coding RNA of Scleropages formosus (Asian bonytongue), 181 nucleotides long. RefSeq lists it as uncharacterized. The record is from RefSeq and is a predicted model, not a curated record. The transcript is spliced from 3 exons. Lineage: Eukaryota; Metazoa; Chordata; Actinopteri; Osteoglossiformes; Osteoglossidae.
GUUCUCCUUCCAGCGAUCCAGAUACUGACCCAGCACGUGGCUCAGAGACUCCCCCAGCUGCUGGGGAUAAGCCACAAGGUCACUGAGCUGGAGCAGAACCCAGGAACAGAACUGAAAUUCAGUCAGAAGCUCAGGGGGAAGCCAGUAUUGGGUUCUUGGAGCGGCGUUGUAGUAUGUCGAC